Molecule: ribosomal RNA, 245 nt
Filed under: uncultured bacterium
Lineage: Bacteria
Description: partial 16S ribosomal RNA
Rfam family: Bacterial small subunit ribosomal RNA
Source: RNAcentral
UACGGAGGCCCCGAGCGUUGUUCGGAAUUACUGGGCUUAAAGCGCGUGUAGGCGGGUCGGUAAGUGUCUUGUGAAAUCCCCGGGCUCAACCCGGGAAUUGCUCGGCAAACUACCGGUCUUGAGGCAGGUAUGGGUCACUGGAACCUUAGGUGUAGCGGUGAAAUGCGUAGAUAUCUAAGGGAACGCCGGUGGCGAAAGCGGGUGACUGGGCCUGUCCUGACGCUAAGACGCGAAGGCGUAGGGAG